AAUCAAGCGUUUAAGAGCAUUUGAUGGAUGCCUUGGCAUACACAGGCGAUGAAGGACGUAGUACGUUGCGAUAAGCUUCGGGGAGUGACGAACACACUUUGAUCCGGAGAUUUCCGAAUGGGGCAACCCAACUCUUCUGAGUUAUUGCUAACUGAAUACAUAGGUUAGUAAAGCGAACCCGGCGAACUGAAACAUCUAAGUAGCCGGAGGAAAGGAUAUCAAACGAUACUCCGUGAGUAGUGGCGAGCGAAAGCGGAUCAGGCCAAUGGUUAAAAUUGUACAACCAGAAUUACCUGGAAAGGUAAACCAUAGAGAGUGAUAGUCUCGUAUGGGUAAUGACAGUUUUGAUCUUCGAGUAAGACGGGACACGUGAAAUCUUGUCUGAAUAUGGGGGGACCACCCUCCAAGCCUAAGUACUCGUGUAUGACCGAUAGUGAACUAGUACCGUGAGGGAAAGGUGAAAAGAACCCCGACGAGGGGAGUGAAAUAGAUCCUGAAAUUGAAUGCUUACAAGCUGUCGAAGCCCGCAAGGGUGACGGCGUACCUUUUGUAUAAUGGGUCAGCGAGUUAGUUUAAAGUGCAAGCUUAAGCCGUAAGGUGUAGGCGUAGCGAAAGCGAGUCUGAAUAGGGCAAUAGUACUUUGGAUUAAACCCGAAACCGAGUGAUCUAGCCAUGAGCAGGUUGAAGAUAAGGUAACACUUAUUGGAGGACCGAACCAGUUGACGUUGAAAAGUCUUUGGAUGACUUGUGGUUAGGGGUGAAAGGCCAAUCAAACUCGGAUAUAGCUGGUUCUCCGCGAAAACUAUUUAGGUAGUGCGUCAUACGAAUUCCAUCGGGGGUAAAGCACUGGAUGGGCAAGGGGGGAGAGAUCCUUACUAAGUCCAACCAAACUCUGAAUACCGAUGAGAAAUAUAUGGCAGACAGACUAUGGGUGCUAAGGUCCAUAGUCGAAAGGAAAACAGUCCAGACCAACAGCUAAGGUCCCCAAGUUAUUGUUAAGUGGGAAAGGAUGUCGGACGACCAAAACAGCCAGGAGGUUGGCUUAGAAGCAGCCAUCCUUUAAAGAAAGCGUAACAGCUCACUGGUCUAAUUAAGUUGUCCGGCGCCGAAGAUGUAACGGGGCUAAACAAUACACCGAAGCUUUGGACACAAUUUAUUGUGUGGUAGCGGAGCGUUCCGUACGUUGUUGAAGGGAGACUCGUGAGAGCUCCUGGAGAUAUCGGAAGUGAGAAUGCUGACAUGAGUAGCGACAAAAAGAGUGAGAAACUCUUUCGCCGAAAAUCCAAGGGUUCCUGCGCAAGGCUAAUCCGCGCAGGUUGAGUCGGCUCCUAAGACGAGGACGAAAGUCGUAGUCGAUGGGAAACAGGUUAAUAUUCCUGUACCGGAUGAGAUGUGACGGAUGACGUAAAUUGUAUCUCCUUAUAAGGAUUGGAUAUGCAGUGAAGUUGUUCCAGGAAAUAGCCUCAUCAUUGAGACCGUACCCGAAACCGACACAGGUGGAUAGGUAGAAGAUACCAAGGCGCUUGAGAGAACUAUGCUGAAGGAACUCGGCAAAAUACCUCUGUAACUUCGGGAGAAGGAGGACCUAUGUUUGGGCAACCAGAUGUAGGUGGCACAGAAAUGGGGGUAGCAACUGUUUAUUAAAAACACAGGACUCUGCAAAGCCGUAAGGCGAAGUAUAGGGUCUGACGCCUGCCCGGUGCCGGAAGAUUAAAGUGAGUGGUGCAAGCUACAAACUGAAGUCCCGGUGAACGGCGGCCGUAACUAUAACGGUCCUAAGGUAGCGAAAUUCCUUGUCGGGUAAGUUCCGACCUGCACGAAUGGCGUAAUGAUUUCCCCGCUGUCUCCAGCAUAGACUCAGCGAAAUUGAAUUCUCCGUGAAGAUGCGGAGUACCCGCGGUUAGACGGAAAGACCCCGUGCACCUUUACUAUAGCUUUACAUUGGUGUUAGAAAUUGCAUGUGUAGGAUAGGUGGUA
Molecule: ribosomal RNA, 1977 nt
Filed under: Candidatus Pelagibacteraceae bacterium
Lineage: Bacteria; Pseudomonadati; Pseudomonadota; Alphaproteobacteria; Candidatus Pelagibacterales; Candidatus Pelagibacteraceae
Description: partial 23S ribosomal RNA
Rfam family: Bacterial large subunit ribosomal RNA
Source: RNAcentral